CGUGUGAACCAGCGGAGGGAUCAUUA
Molecule: ribosomal RNA, 26 nt
Filed under: Trichoderma harzianum
Lineage: Eukaryota; Fungi; Ascomycota; Sordariomycetes; Hypocreales; Hypocreaceae
Description: partial 18S ribosomal RNA
Source: RNAcentral